This is a long non-coding RNA of Calypte anna (Anna's hummingbird), 1062 nucleotides long. RefSeq lists it as uncharacterized. The record is from RefSeq and is a predicted model, not a curated record. NCBI's taxonomy places the organism in Eukaryota, Metazoa, Chordata, Aves, Apodiformes, Trochilidae. The transcript has 4 exons.
CGCGCCUGAACAAUGAGCCCCGGCCGGGCCGCGCCUCAGCGCCCACCGGCGUGCGCGGCGGCGGCGGCGGGAACCCGAACCCUCCUCCUCUUCCUCCUCCUUCUUCUCUCCCCCUAUCCCCCCCUCCUCCCCACCGUCCAGGAGUUUUUUAAACUUUAAAGCGCAGGUUCCAUCACCCUCCCCCGCCUUUGUCCCUCGGACGCGGCGCUCGGCCACCGAAAAGCGGCGGAGGCUGCGUCCCGCCGCCUUGCCUCCGCCCUCCCCCCGCAGAGGCAGGCUUGGGAAAUGAGGUGCCAGCUAUGUCCUGGCAAGGAUGCUCCAGGUGUUGGCUCCUUCCCGGAGAGCGGCGGAACCCUGCGUUGUGUCUGGGAAACCUCGGGUGUAGUGGCAGCAAAAAAAACCCAAAAACCCCAACUUGGUGUUUUUGUGGCAGUCACUGGAGUCUGGGUGGACUUGUGAGCCUGGAUUUCAUCUCAGGAGUGCAGGAUGUAAAGGCUUCUGUUACCUGCCUCGACUGUGGAUAAACUGUAAUGGAUGCAGCUGACAGCUACCAACAAGUUCUGCCCAGAGUGGGGGAGCUGGGAGAGAGGUCGAGCUGGACUCAGCUUCAGGUGUGAACAAAGGUGGCCCCUGGGCUGAGGCUUCCCAAAGGAAGGUUUGGUCUGGAAUUUGUUUUCAUGACCCAGGUGAAGACCUUUGGAAAAGAACUUUUAUCAUGGCAACAGAAUAUCUAUACGUAUCAGCUAAAGGGACAUAUUGAAAGUUUCUGAGAAUGCAGAGAUACUUCUUGGCUUUCCUUUGUUUUCUCAGAAGUGAGAAUGCCUUGUGUGCUCUAGUUUAUAGAAGAGUUGUAUAAAAUCCCCUCUCAAGCUAUUAGAGGAAACUGAUUCAAAGUUCCAGAUGAAAAUUCAAUGUUUAAACCUGUUUGUUCCCCUCUGCCCCAUCCUUCUGCAUGCUGCAGAUGUUUGAGAAGUCUGGAGAACUGUUUGGAGAGCUACAACUGACUGGAAAUGUUCUGUGGGCUAAAUAUCUUAAAUGUUCUGUUCACAACAGUAAAUAAAU